GAGGGAUCGAGGGGUUUCUAGAGCGAUAAGAGGAGUAUAAAAGAGAGGCGUUUGAGUUCGAACCGAGUUCAGUGUAAGUUCAGCUACGGUAUAAUCAAGUUUUAGUGUUAUAUUAAUAAAUUGUUACUUCUGAUCGCACUCCUCACUAUUUUUUAUAAUUUAAACAUCCUACAUUAUUUUAUUACUUUCUCUAUUUUUUUCCUUUUAUUCUUUUCCGUUUACGAAUUAAUUCGGGUAUUUUCGAAUUAUUGUCAAACCCAUGGGAUUGACCAGAGAUACAAUGAAAUUCACGUAAUUCACUGUACUAGAAUUCAAUGCUAGAUAACACUUUCUAAUUACUAUCCUUGAUGAAAAAUUUGUAUUACACCAUACCUUUCGGAGAGUUUCAUCUUGUGGGAACCUACAAGAAAAAGUAGCUACAGACUUAUAAAAAUUAACUAAUAUUAUAAAUAUAAUAAUUUCUUUCUUUCUUUAACUUUGAUUUCAACUAUUGAUAUAAUAUGUACAACAAAUCUUUAUCUACGCAAAGAAAUAGACAUAAUU
Molecule: long non-coding RNA, 543 nt
Filed under: Polistes fuscatus (common paper wasp)
Lineage: Eukaryota; Metazoa; Arthropoda; Insecta; Hymenoptera; Vespidae
Description: uncharacterized LOC122521652, transcript variant X1
Source: RNAcentral